GCUGGGCAUGGUGGCUCAUGCCUGUAAUCUCAGCACUUUGGGAGGCUGAGGUGGGUGGAUCACCUGAGGUCAGGAGUUCAAGACCAGCCUGGCCAACAUGGUGAAACCCCAUCUCUA
Homo sapiens (human) is the source of this 117-nucleotide non-coding RNA. It matches the Rfam family "Metazoan signal recognition particle RNA". From Rfam's summary of the family: The signal recognition particle (SRP) is a universally conserved ribonucleoprotein. It is involved in the co-translational targeting of proteins to membranes. The record is from Rfam. Lineage: Eukaryota; Metazoa; Chordata; Mammalia; Primates; Hominidae.